RNAcentral lists this ribosomal RNA (467 nucleotides) under uncultured bacterium. Its description in RNAcentral is "partial 16S ribosomal RNA". It matches the Rfam family "Bacterial small subunit ribosomal RNA", at positions 28 to 507 of the family's 1533-position model. The record is from RNAcentral.
GACGAACGCUGGCGGCGUGCUUAACACAUGCCAGUCGAACGGAAAGGCCUCUUUCGGGGGGUACUCGAGUGGCGAACGGGUGAGUAACACGUGAGUAACCUGCCCUUGACUUUGGGAUAACUUCAGGAAACUGGGGCUAAUACCGGAUAGGAGCUCCUGCUGCAUGGUGGGGGUUGGAAAGUUUCGGCGGUUGGGGAUGGACUCGCGGCUUAUCAGCUUGUUGGUGGGGUAGUGGCUUACCAAGGCUUUGACGGGUAGCCGGCCUGAGAGGGUGACCGGCCACAUUGGGACUGAGAUACGGCCCAGACUCCUACGGGAGGCAGCAGGGGGGAAUAUUGCACAAUGGGUGGAAGCCUGAUGCAGCAACGCCGGGGGCGGGAUGACGGCCUUCGGGUUGUAAACCGCUUUCGCUCAUGACGAAGCUUUGUGUGACGGUAGUGGGUAAAGAAGCACCGGCUAACUACGUG